UGGGGAAUCUUCCGCAAUGGACGAAAGUCUGACGGAGCAACGCCGCGUGAGUGAUGACGGCCUUCGGGUUGUAAAGCUCUGUUAAUCGGGACGAAUGGUUCUUGUGCGAAUAGUGCAAGGAUUUGACGGUACCGGAAUAGAAAGCCACGGCUAACUACGUGCCAGCAGCCGCGGUAAUACGUAGGUGGCAAGCGUUGUCCGGAAUUAUUGGGCGUAAAGCGCGCGCAGGUGGAUUGGUCAGUCUGUCUUAAAAGUUCGGGGCUUAACCCCGUGAUGGGAUGGAAAAUGCCAAUCUAGAGUAUCGGAGAGGAAAGUGGAAUUCCUAGUGUAGCGGUGAAAUGCGUAGAUAUUAGGAAGAACACCAGUGGCGAAGGCGACUUUCUGGACGAAAACUGACGCUGAGGCGCGAAAGCCAGGGGAGCGAACGGG
Molecule: ribosomal RNA, 429 nt
Filed under: bacterium
Lineage: Bacteria
Description: partial 16S ribosomal RNA
Rfam family: Bacterial small subunit ribosomal RNA
Source: RNAcentral